CAUCUAAGUGCGAAACUCGCCCCAAGAUGAGACUUCCAAACAGGGCCGUCAGAGACGAUGACGUUGAUAGGCUGCAGGUGUAAAGCCAGAGAUGGCAAAGCUGAGCAGUACUAAUAGCCCGAAAACUUGAAUAG
Molecule: non-coding RNA, 134 nt
Filed under: Cyclobacterium lianum
Lineage: Bacteria; Pseudomonadati; Bacteroidota; Cytophagia; Cytophagales; Cyclobacteriaceae
Description: Bacterial large subunit ribosomal RNA
Rfam family: Bacterial large subunit ribosomal RNA
Source: Rfam by way of RNAcentral